This 766-nucleotide ribosomal RNA is filed under the name uncultured fungus. RNAcentral's name for it is "bacterial SSU rRNA". It matches the Rfam family "Eukaryotic small subunit ribosomal RNA", at positions 564 to 1328 of the family's 1831-position model. The record is from RNAcentral. Lineage: Eukaryota; Fungi.
GUGCCAGCAGCCGCGGUAAUUCCAGCUCCAAUAGCGUAUAUUAAAGUUGUUGCAGUUAAAAAGCUCGUAGUUGAACCUUGGGCCUGGCUGGCCGGCACGCCUCACCGCGUGUACUGGUCCGACAGUUCCUUUCCGUCUGGGGAACCUCAUGCCCUUCACUGUGCGAGAAAAAGGAACCAGGACUUUUACUUUGAAAAAAUUAGAGUGUUCAAAGCAGGCCUUUGCUCGAAUACAUUAGCAUGGAAUAAUAGAAUAGGACGUGUGGUUCUAUUUUGUUGGUUUCUACGACCGCCGUAAUGAUUAAUAGGGAUAGUCGGGGGCAUCAGUAUUCAAUCGUCAGAGGUGAAAUUCUUGGAUUGAUUGAAGACUAACUACUGCGAAAGCAUUUGCCAAGUAUGUUUUCAUUAAUCAGUGAACGAAAGUUAGGGGAUCGAAGACGAUCAGAUACCGUCGUAGUCUUAACCAUAAACUAUGCCGACUAGGGAUCGGACGGUGUUAGUAUUUCGACCCGCUCCGGCACCUUACGAGAAAUCAUAGUUUUUGCGUUCUGGGGGGAGUAUGCUCGCAAGGCUGAAACUUAAAGAAAUUGACGGAACGGCACCACCAGGCGUGGAGCCUGCUGUCUUUAUUUUGACUCAACACGGGCAAACUCACCAGGUCCAGACACAAUAAGGGAUUGACAGACUGCUCAGCUCUUUCUUGAUGUUGUGGGUGGCGCCGCAUGCCCGUUCGUAGGUGGUGGAGUGAUUUGUCUGCUUAACGCCGU